Molecule: small nucleolar RNA, 106 nt
Organism: Otolemur garnettii (small-eared galago)
Lineage: Eukaryota; Metazoa; Chordata; Mammalia; Primates; Galagidae
Source: Ensembl
AUCCUUUCAUAAUUCAUAAUUGUGAUAAUUAGGUUUAUACAUUCAUAUGUGAGAUGUGUCUCCCUCAAACCUUAUUAGACUUAUUAGGCACAUUACUCAUCUGAUG